Triticum urartu is the source of this 413-nucleotide non-coding RNA. NCBI's taxonomy places the organism in Eukaryota, Viridiplantae, Streptophyta, Magnoliopsida, Poales, Poaceae. The record is from RefSeq and is a predicted model, not a curated record.
GAUUUAUGAUGUGCUUUAUUUCACCAGGGAGAGAUGAGAUUUGGCAGAUUGUCCAUGGCUUGCAUGUGAGCGGUGGAGAUGAUAUCAUUUGCACUGCUCAUAACUUUUAUAAACUAGCUCUUGAUAAUGACUUUACUAAGGGACGUCGAACAAGUCACGUUGCAGCCGCUUGUCUUUACAUUGCCUGCCGGCGAGGUGAAAAACCUUAUCUUCUUAUUGAUUUCUCAGACCAUUUGCAAAUAAGUGUUUAUGUCCUAGGUGGUGUUUUUCUGCAGCUUUGCCAGGUUUUGUUACUCGGAGAACACCCAAUUGUUCAAAAGCUUGUAGAUCCUAGCCUUUUCAUUCAUCGUUUUACUGAACGUAAGUUGACGUACAUGUGCAUUCUUAUAUAAUAUACGCAAUGCUUCUAGCUA